Molecule: ribosomal RNA, 490 nt
Filed under: uncultured bacterium
Lineage: Bacteria
Description: partial 16S ribosomal RNA
Rfam family: Bacterial small subunit ribosomal RNA
Source: RNAcentral
GUGAACGCUGGCGGUAGGCCUAACACAUGCAAGUCGAACGGCAGCACCGUAAGAGCUUGCUCUUACGGGUGGCGAGUGGCGGACGGGUGAGGAAUACAUCGGAAUCUACUUUUUCGUGGGGGAUAACGUAGGGAAACUUACGCUAAUACCGCAUACGACCUACGGGUGAAAGCAGGGGAUCUUCGGACCUUGCGCGAUUGAAUGAGCCGAUGUCGGAUUAGCUAGUUGGCGGGGUAAAGGCCCACCAAGGCGACGAUCCGUAGCUGGUCUGAGAGGAUGAUCAGCCACACUGGAACUGAGACACGGUCCAGACCCCUACGGGAGGCAGCAGUGGGGAAUAUUGGACAAUGGGCGCAAGCCUGAUCCAGCCAUACCGCGUGGGUGAAGAAGGCCUUCGGGUUGUAAAGCCCUUUUGUUGGGAAAGAAAAGCAGCAGGUUAAUACCCCGCUGUUCUGACGGUACCCAAAGAAUAAGCACCGGCGAACUUCGU